Molecule: long non-coding RNA, 288 nt
Filed under: Brachypodium distachyon (stiff brome)
Lineage: Eukaryota; Viridiplantae; Streptophyta; Magnoliopsida; Poales; Poaceae
Description: long non-coding RNA (BDIS_LNC004522)
Source: RNAcentral
GUGGCGAUGUGUUUUUUGGUCCGUUUCAACCGCCAUUGGAGAGGGAUCACGGAUGGGGUUUUCUACAGUAGUGGUUUUUUUUCAUGUAUAGCACAACAGCCGCAAAGGGCCGUUUAUUUUUUCCGGAGGAAACCCGAAAGGUAUCAUGUGGUAACGUGGCAAAGGUUUAUUUUUUUAUGUCCAAGAUUGAGCAACGUCAAUUUUUUAUGCAGUAAUGUGGCAACCUGGUGAACUGGUUUUUUCUUAGCAGUAUGCCAACAACGACACUAUGGAUUAUCACUUGUCCCG